UACGAAAGGGGCUAGCGUUGUUCGGAAUUACUGGGCGUAAAGCGCACGUAGGCGGCUCUGUAAGAUGGGGGUGAAAUCCCGGGGCUCAACUCCGGAACUGCCUUCAUGACUGCAUGGCUCGAGGAUGCGAGAGGUUGGCGGAAUUCCGAGUGUAGAGGUGAAAUUCGUAGAUAUUCGGAAGAACACCAGUGGCGAAGGCGGCCAACUGGCGCAUUUCUGACGCUGAGGUGCGAAAGCGUGGGGAGCAAACAGG
This 253-nucleotide ribosomal RNA is filed under the name uncultured bacterium. Its description in RNAcentral is "partial 16S ribosomal RNA". It matches the Rfam family "Bacterial small subunit ribosomal RNA", at positions 524 to 776 of the family's 1533-position model. The record is from RNAcentral.